This 1814-nucleotide long non-coding RNA is filed under the name Helianthus annuus (common sunflower). RNAcentral describes it as "hypothetical non coding rna". Lineage: Eukaryota; Viridiplantae; Streptophyta; Magnoliopsida; Asterales; Asteraceae. The record is from RNAcentral.
UCAUCAAUUCAAAUUGGGCAACUUGAACGCUUCAUCUUUCCCUAACCCACCCUUUCAUUCCCUUCUCCUCCCCCUCCAAACUAUACAAAUCCCAUAACAACUUCGAACACUAUCACUUUUCUCUCUCCAUCUGGAACCCUAGCUUCCUCCAUAGCUCUCAAAUCGGACCGGAGAUGAAGAACAAAUCGAAGGUGAACACCGAUUUUGGAGAAACCCAAACCAAUUUGCAGGUAAUGAAUUUGAUCGGUGAUGUGAAAGAUAAAGAAGCAAUUAUGGCUGGAUCAUAAAUUUUAUACGCAUGUAAGUGCUGUAGGACAUGUUCAUUGAAUCGGGAGAACUGGGCAAGCAUAUAACAUAGGUCAAUAUGUUUCAACUGUAAGUCCUUUUUUGCGUAUUUUAUACCAUUAUUUCUAUUCAGUUUUUUAUUAAAAAAAAUUGGCGAGAAAUAGUUGAGUUAGCUAAAGAACCUGAUUGCAACGUACAUCAAGAUCAGAUAGAUAGGACAGCUUCCUUGGCUGAGAUGACCUACAGGCACCACGUGAAACCCCCGUUGCACCCCUUUGUUUAAAGGAUCCACGAGACUACUUUGAUUCUCGACAAGUAAAUGCACGAAUAACACAGAUGAAAUCUAGGUUAUGCACUUCUGAAUCUUAUGUUUUUUUGAGGGCUCAUAUCUUUGAAACUGGAACAACAGGUUACAGUAAUAUCAUAGUGGCCGUUGGUUUCCAAAUGAUAUUGUUGAAAAAUCACUCGACUUAGUGUCUGAAAAUCAAUCUCUUUCAAGGUCGUUUCUAGCUUCUCUCGAGUCCGCAGGUAAAGAACCGUCUGGGAAUUCUAAUAUUCCACUCUCCAUCACAAACGACAAUCAAAAACCGAGUUUUGAAAAACGGAGUUCAUUUUGGGAGACCAUCGGGUCAAUGGAAGCAUUUCUUUUAUUUCUACAGAAUCCGCAUUUUCGCCCACUUUAUACUUUUAACGAAAGUGCCCUUAAACGCCACGCAAUCUAUAAAAUAGUAAUCCUUAUUAAAUUAUAAGGUUAGUUUCUUAGAAUUAGCGAAGUGCGAAUGUGAUUUCAAAUUCUAUGAGGGGCAUAGUGGGGUUAUAUAAAUAGGUCAAAAAAGAUCGACCCACCAACACAUUUUGCCAUUUUUUUAAAUAUUAGUGAUUACUUUGAACUUUUUUAAGUAUUGGACCAAUUUUACUAUUUCUUUUGGUGGAUACAUGACUGUUGGAACGUACCUAAAGUUCCUGAACCAAAUAUCCCCUAUUAAGUGUCUCAAGAUCCAUUAGCAAUUAUAUAUAGAUCAAGAAGAAGAAAAUAGUGAAUAAUGAGCAGCAACAUUUGAAACAUAAUAUUAAAUUUGGGUAGAUGGCUCAUUUGUGUCUGUCCUUUUGAAAGUAUACAGAACAUUUAUAAAACAUUGUGCUAUUGUAAUUCUCAGGUGCACAGUCUCUUUGGUAUACUCACCUCAGCCUGUUUGCAUGUAUUUCUUCUCAUAUGCGGCUUAUAUUGCAUUAGUCUUGUGAUAAGUACAAAGCAGGAGGGACCCCAAGUGUCAACGUUACAAAACAUGAAGGGUAAACGUGUCAAAGGCAACCAUGCACGUUAAAUAGAAAGCCGAAGGACCAAAGCCGCCAGGAGGAGUAGAACAAUGUCGUGACUUUUCUUCUAAUUGUGUAGGCCACCUUAAUUUGUUGAAUGGUAUGUUCUAAAUUCAUUUUCUUUUGUUUGUAAGAAACUAUUUCUAUAAUUCCUUUUUGUACUAAAAUCGCAUAAUAUUCGUAAUGGUUGAACCGAUAUGUGCUUUACGCUU